This 1315-nucleotide ribosomal RNA is filed under the name Alosa pseudoharengus (alewife). RNAcentral's name for it is "partial 16S ribosomal RNA". It matches the Rfam family "Bacterial large subunit ribosomal RNA", at positions 539 to 2568 of the family's 2925-position model. The record is from RNAcentral. Lineage: Eukaryota; Metazoa; Chordata; Actinopteri; Clupeiformes; Clupeidae.
UGAAAUAACGCACUAAAGUAGAUAAAAGCAGAGACUACAUCUCGUACCUUUUGCAUCAUGAUCUAGCCAGUAACCUCAAGCAAAGAGACCUCUAGUUUGAACCCCCGAAACCGGACGAGCUACUCCGGGGCAGCCUAUUAUAGGGCCAACCCGUCUCUGUGGCAAAAGAGUGGGAAGACCCCCGAGUAGAGGUGAAAGACCUACCGAGUCAGGUUAUAGCUGGUUGCCCAAGAAAUGAAUAGAAGUUCAGCCCCGCUGCGCCCUCGCCCACAACAGUUUUACUUAAACAAGGCACAAAGGACACCCGCGGGAGUUAGUCAAGGGAGGUACAGCUCCCUUAACAAAGGACACAACCUUAAACAGGAGGCUAAGGAAUAUAUUAAACUAAGGCCCUAGGUUUCAGUGGGCCUAAAAGCAGCCAUCUGAACAGAAAGCGUUAAAGCUCAGACCAACCCAAGCCUAUUAUAACAUUAAAAUCUCCAAAGCCCCUAGUAUUACUGGGCCAUCCUAUGCCCCCAUAGGAGGGACCAUGCUAGAACGAGUAAUAAGAAGAAAGACCUUCUCCCAGCACAUGUGUAAGUCGAAUCGGACACCCCAUCGACAAUUAACGAACCCAACAAAAGAGGGCAAUGCACCACCGCCACCCUAGGCCGAGAAGACCAUGUAAUAGAACAUCGUUACCCCCACACAGGAGUGCUUAAAUCAAGGGAAAGACUUAAAGGAUAAAAAGGAACUCGGCAAACCUAAACCCCGCCUGUUUACCAAAAACAUCGCCUCCUGCCACCACUAAUUAUAGGAGGUCCCGCCUGCCCUGUGACCAAAAGUUUAACGGCCGCGGUAUUUUAACCGUGCAAAGGUAGCGCAAUCAAUUGUCUUUUAAAUGGAGACCUGUAUGAAUGGCAUAACGAGGGUUUAACUGUCUCUUUUUCCCGGUCAAUGAAACUGAUCUACCCGUGCAGAAGCGGGUAUACACACACAAGACGAGAAGACCCUAUGGAGCUUUAGACGCCAACCAACCACGAAAAGCGGCCGCUAACUGGACCCUCAAACAACGUGAUUAUGGCACAAGCGUCUUCGGUUGGGGCGACCACGGGAGAUAACAAAGCUCCCGAGUGGAUAGGGGAACACCCUAAAACCCAGAGCCACAGCUCUAAGUCACAAAACAUUUGACCAAUAAUGAUCCGGCUUUAUGCCGACCAACGAACCAAGUUACCCUAGGGAUAACAGCGCAAUCCCCUCCCAGAGUCCAUAUCGACGAGGGGGUUUACGACCUCGAUGUUGGAUCAGGACAUCCUAAUGGUGCAGCCGCUAUUAA